GCCAGGCAGGUGGCACACGCCUGUAAUCCCAGCAGCUUGGGAGGCUGAGGCAGGAGGAUCAUGAGUUCAAAGCAAGCCACUAAACAACUCAGUGUGACCCUGUCUCUA
Molecule: small RNA, 108 nt
Filed under: Marmota monax (woodchuck)
Lineage: Eukaryota; Metazoa; Chordata; Mammalia; Rodentia; Sciuridae
Source: RNAcentral